Molecule: long non-coding RNA, 948 nt
Organism: Oncorhynchus keta (chum salmon)
Lineage: Eukaryota; Metazoa; Chordata; Actinopteri; Salmoniformes; Salmonidae
Exons: 3
Source: RefSeq, a predicted model, not a curated record
GUGUGUGUGUGUGUGUGUGUGUGUUCAUGUAAAUGUAUUGAAGGUGUGUGUGUGUGUUCAUGUAAAUGUAUUGAAGGUGUGUGUGUGUGUGUGUGUUCAUGUAAAUGUAUUGAAGGUGUGUGUGUGUGUUCAUGUAAAUGUAUUGAAGGUGUGUGUGUGUGUUCAUGUAAAUGUAUUGAAGGUGUGUGUGUGUGUGUGUGUUCAUGUAAAUGUAUUGAAGGUGUGUGUGUGUGUGUGUGUGUUCAUGUAAAUGUAUUGAAGGUGUGUGUGUGUGUUCAUGUAAAUGUAUUGAAGGUGUGUGUGUGUGUGUGUGUUCAUGUAAAUGUAUUGAAGGUGUGUGUGUGUGUUCAUGUAAAUGUAUUGAAGGUGUGUGUGUGUGUUCAUGUAAAUGUAUUGAAGGUGUGUGUGUGUGUUCAUGUAAAUGUAUUGAAGGUGUGUGUGUGUGUUCAUGUAAAUGUAUUGAAGGUGUGUGUGUGUGUGUGUGUUCAUGUAAAUGUAUUGAAGGUGUGUGUGUGUGUGUGUGUUCAUGUAAAUGUAUUGAAUGUGUGUGUGUGUGUUCAUGUAAAUGUAUUGAAGGUGUGUGUGUGUGUGUGUUCAUGUAAAUGUAUUGAAGGUGUGUGUGUGUGUUCAUGUAAAUGUAUUGAAGGUGUGUGUGUGUGUGUGUGUUCAUGUAAAUGUAUUGAAGGUGUGUGUGUGUGUGUGUGUUCAUGUAAAUGUAUUGAAGGUGUGUGUGUGUGUUCAUGUAAAUGUAUUGAAGGUGUGUGUGUGUGUUCAUGUAAAUGUAUUGAAGGUGUGUGUGUGUGUGUUCAUGUAAAUGUAUUGAAGGUGUGUGUGUGUGUGUUCAUGUAAAUGUAUUGAAGGUGUGUGUGUGUGUGUUCAUGUAAAUGUAUUGAAGGUGUGUGUGUGUGUGUGUGUGUGUGUGUUCAUGUAAAUGUAUUGAAGGUGUGU